RNAcentral lists this ribosomal RNA (253 nucleotides) under uncultured bacterium. Its description in RNAcentral is "partial 16S ribosomal RNA". It matches the Rfam family "Bacterial small subunit ribosomal RNA", at positions 524 to 776 of the family's 1533-position model. The record is from RNAcentral.
GACGAACCGUGCGAACGUUGUUCGGAAUCACUGGGCUUAAAGGGCGCGUAGGCGGACAGUCAAGUCAGGGGUGAAAUCCCACGGCUCAACCGUGGAAGUGCCUUUGAUACUGACAGUCUCGAGGGAGGUAGGGGCGUGCGGAACUUCCGGUGGAGCGGUGAAAUGCGUAGAUAUCGGAAGGAACAUCAGUGGCGAAGGCGACUUCCUGGACCAAUACUGACGCUCAGGUGCGAAAGCGUGGGGAGCAAACAGG